This 422-nucleotide ribosomal RNA is filed under the name uncultured bacterium. RNAcentral's name for it is "partial 16S ribosomal RNA". It matches the Rfam family "Bacterial small subunit ribosomal RNA", at positions 360 to 774 of the family's 1533-position model. The record is from RNAcentral.
AAUCUUCCACAAUGGACGGAAGUCGUAUGGAGCAAUGCCGCGUGAACGAAGAAGGUUUUCGGAUCGUAAAGUUCUGUUGUGAGGGAAGAACAAGUACGAGAGUAACUGCUCGUACCUUGACGUUACCUCAUGAGAAAGCCACGGCUAACUACGUGACAGCAGCCGCGGUAAUACGUAGGUGGCAAGCGUUUUCCGGAAUUAUUGGGCGUAAAACGCGCGCAGGCGGCCUUUUAAGUCUGAUGUGAAAGCCCAAGGCUCAACCGUGGAAGGUCAUUGGAAACUGGAAGGCUUGAGUACAGAAGAGGAAAGCGGAAUUCCACGUGUAGCGGUGAAAUGAGUAGAGAUGUGGAGGAACACCAGUGGCGAAGGCGGCUUUCUGGUCUGUAACUGACGCUGAGGCGCGAAAGCGUGGGGAGCAAACA